This 450-nucleotide ribosomal RNA is filed under the name uncultured bacterium. RNAcentral describes it as "partial 16S ribosomal RNA". It matches the Rfam family "Bacterial small subunit ribosomal RNA", at positions 354 to 796 of the family's 1533-position model. The record is from RNAcentral.
GUGGGGAAUCUUCCGCAAUGGACGAAAGUCUGACGGAGCGACGCCGCGUGAGUGAAGAAGGCCUUCGGGUCGUAAAGCUCUGUCAUCAGGGACGAACGGCCGGUGGAGUGGAAAGCCACCGGAUUGACGGUACCUGAGAAGGAAGCCACGGCUAACUACGUGCCAGCAGCCGCGGUAAUACGUAGGUGGCAAGCGUUGUCCGGAAUUAUUGGGCGUAAAGCGCGCGCAGGUGGGAUCUUAAGUCCAUUUUGAAAGUUCGGAGCUCAACUCCGUGAUGGGAUGGAAACUGGGAUUCUUGAGUACCGGAGAGGAAAGCGGAAUUCCCCGUGUAGCGGUGAAAUGCGUAGAUAUGGGGAGGAACACCAGUGGCGAAGGCGGCUUUCUGGACGGUGUCUGACACUGAGGCGCGAAAGCUAGGUGAGCGAACGGGAUUAGAAACCCCUGUAGUCC